UCUUGUCUCUGUCUCUCAAGGUAACCAAUCCACAAAAUCUUUCUGUUUUUUAUUAUAAAAAAUUGAUCUUUUCGAGUAUGGUGAUCUGGGUUUUAUCCGUAGUGAUUAAAGAAAAGAUGACGAGUCCCAUUUUAUUAUCCCUUCAACCCCAUUCACCUCCUUUACAACAAAACCAGGAUUUGUCAGAGCCGAAGAACCCCACUUUCGUUUUGGGCUUUCAUAUGAAGUGGAGAAUUUUUAUGCAGGAUAUUUUUUAUAUGAAACAAAGGGAGCAACAAUGGAGUGUGUGGCACAAGGAAUUAUAGAGACUCAGAUCAAAAGAAAUGGAGUUGUUGCUUCAAAAAGUAGUUUUUGCCAGCUAGGUGAUGAAGUCAAGGUGAAAAAACCUUACACAAAAAUGGCUUGUCAUUGGCUGUGUUCUAGGCCUAUGGUGGGGUGGUCUCGAUCGGUGGCUCCUGUAAACCGGUCCCUGUUGAAAUUCCCAUGCUCAAAUCAAUAAAUAUAUAUGUCGUUUUCA
This is a long non-coding RNA of Populus trichocarpa (black cottonwood), 517 nucleotides long. RefSeq lists it as uncharacterized. The transcript is spliced from 2 exons. Lineage: Eukaryota; Viridiplantae; Streptophyta; Magnoliopsida; Malpighiales; Salicaceae. The record is from RefSeq and is a predicted model, not a curated record.